UACGGGGGGGGCAAGCGUUGUUCGGAAUUACUGGGCGUAAAGGGCUCGUAGGUGGCCAACUAAGUCAGACGUGAAAUCCCUCAGCUUAACUGGGGAACUGCGUCUGAUACUGGAUGGCUUGAGUUUGGGAGAGGGAUGCGGAAUUCCAGGUGUAGCGGUGAAAUGCGUAGAUAUCGGGAGGAACACCGAUGGCGAAGGCAGCUCGCUGGGACGGUACUGACGCUGAGGCGCGAAAGCGUGGGGAGCAAACAGG
Molecule: ribosomal RNA, 253 nt
Filed under: uncultured bacterium
Lineage: Bacteria
Description: partial 16S ribosomal RNA
Rfam family: Bacterial small subunit ribosomal RNA
Source: RNAcentral